This 842-nucleotide ribosomal RNA is filed under the name uncultured bacterium. RNAcentral's name for it is "bacterial SSU rRNA". It matches the Rfam family "Bacterial small subunit ribosomal RNA", at positions 56 to 898 of the family's 1533-position model. The record is from RNAcentral.
UGCAAGUCGAGCGAAGCACUUUGCUUAGACUCUUCGGAUGAAGAGGAUUGUGACUGAGCGGCGGACGGGUGAGUAACGCGUGGGUAACCUGCCUCAUACAGGGGGAUAACAGUUAGAAAUGACUGCUAAUACCGCAUAAGACCACAGCACCGCAUGGUGCGGGGGUAAAAACUCCGGUGGUAUGAGAUGGACCCGCGUCUGAUUAGCUAGUUGGUAAGGUAACGGCUUACCAAGGCGACGAUCAGUAGCCGACCUGAGAGGGUGACCGGCCACAUUGGGACUGAGACACGGCCCAAACUCCUACGGGAGGCAGCAGUGGGGAAUAUUGCACAAUGGGGGAAACCCUGAUGCAGCGACGCCGCGUGAGCGAAGAAGUAUUUCGGUAUGUAAAGCUCUAUCAGCAGGGAAGAAAAUGACGGUACCUGACUAAGAAGCACCGGCUAAAUACGUGCCAGCAGCCGCGGUAAUACGUAUGGUGCAAGCGUUAUCCGGAUUUACUGGGUGUAAAGGGAGCGUAGACGGAUGGGCAAGUCUGAUGUGAAAACCCGGGGCUCAACCCCGGGACUGCAUUGGAAACUGUUCAUCUAGAGUGCUGGAGAGGUAAGUGGAAUUCCUAGUGUAGCGGUGAAAUGCGUAGAUAUUAGGAGGAACACCAGUGGCGAAGGCGGCUUACUGGACAGUAACUGACGUUGAGGCUCGAAAGCGUGGGGAGCAAACAGGAUUAGAUACCCUGGUAGUCCACGCCGUAAACGAUGACUACUAGGUGUCGGGUGGCAAAGCCAUUCGGUGCCGCAGCAAACGCAAUAAGUAGUCCACCUGGGGAGUACGUUCGCAAGAAUGAA